Molecule: long non-coding RNA, 552 nt
Organism: Temnothorax curvispinosus
Lineage: Eukaryota; Metazoa; Arthropoda; Insecta; Hymenoptera; Formicidae
Exons: 3
Source: RefSeq, a predicted model, not a curated record
ACGCGCCGCGUCCGUGUCGUGAGAUUAAUACCGGGGAGUGCCGUGCCUUUUUAGUGUCGCGCGAUCAUAAGAGACGAUGUCGUCGAUUUUCGCUCGUGAACGUCGUCUCCAUGUUAUCGUCUAUCUGCGGGACAAUGGACAUCGCGGCACGGACCGACGUGGGCCGACGGGUGUCGAGCGGAUCAUACAGCUUCGUUCGCAGCUUCUUCGUCGUAAUUUUUCCGUUGCCGCGUCGCGAGAUUGAUGCCGGGAGUGCCGUGCCUUUAGUGUCGCGCGAUCAUAAGAGGAGACGAUAUCGACGAUAUCGUCGAUUUUCGCUCGUGAACGUCGUCGCGUUGUGAGUGAGUGCGACAAUGGACCAAGGACCAACGGAGUAACGGAGGACGAUCGAGGAGAGGAGAACGGGGCCUGGGAGGCAUCGGGCGACGGCGGAGCGACCGUGGGAUCAACGCAGAAUUACAACUCCGCUGUUGCGCAUCGGCCGCUUAAUGCUAAGGUAGCACCGCCACGAUUUUCUCCGAAAUGGCACGGGAUACAAAAUUGUUAUUAGUG